UACGUAGGGGGCGAGCGUUAUCCGGAUUUACUGGGUGUAAAGAGCGCGUAGGCGGUUCCGUAAGUUGGUUGUGAAAGUUCGAGGCUCAACCUCGAAACUGCGUCCAAUACUGCGGGGCUGGAGUGCAAGAGAGGCAAGUGGAAUUUGCAGUGUAGUAGUGAAAUGCGUAGAUAUUGCAAGGAACACCAGUGGCGAAGGCGGCUUGCUAGCUUGUAACUGACGCUGAGGCGCGAAAGCUAGGGGAGCGAACGGG
Molecule: ribosomal RNA, 253 nt
Filed under: uncultured bacterium
Lineage: Bacteria
Description: partial 16S ribosomal RNA
Rfam family: Bacterial small subunit ribosomal RNA
Source: RNAcentral